Long non-coding RNA from Schistocerca gregaria, 583 nucleotides. RefSeq lists it as uncharacterized. The transcript has 3 exons. The record is from RefSeq and is a predicted model, not a curated record. Lineage: Eukaryota; Metazoa; Arthropoda; Insecta; Orthoptera; Acrididae.
CUGCGACAUCGUCUGUGAUACAGAAAAAAAGAAAACCAAAAUUACUUCAUACAAUCAUAGGCAUGUUAAAAAGUGUCUCUUCAAGUUAAGAUACAAUAUGAAAGACUGACCUAUGGAAAACACCAUUACCUUAUUUUUACCAGGCAGAAGUGACACUAACAAUCAACUGCCAAAGCAUUCAAAAAAAGUGCCAGAGUUUUAAGCACUCCAAAGAAGCAGUUGAGUUCAAGUAAUACUAUUUCCGAAAGCUGGCUAAAUCCUGAAAUUGACAGCAGCGAGAUUUUUUAGGUUCAAGUGGGACCGUGCAAAUUGGGACGAGAUGUGACUGGAUGUGACAUGCGUCUACGCCAGGUCACACAGCGUUGUGGUUGUGGCACAGUUUCUCGCACUGCAUGCCACGCCAGUACUGUGAGAGGGGUGAGGUGGGAAGCAGGAAGGCAGUUCUGCCAUAUGCUCACCCUGGCAUGGCGCAUAUGGUCAGUGGAAGUGUUGCCCAUCCGAAAAAUAUGGCCUUAAUGGAUAGGGUUUCGUUUUUCGCUGUUUAAGCACUCCAUCUCAUUUUGAUAGUACAUAAUAUUUUCAG